CCUACGGUGGGCAGCAGUGGGGGAUAUUGCACAAUGGGGGGAACCCUGAUGCAGCGACGCCGCGUGGGUGAAGGAGUUCUUCGGCAUGUAAAGCCCUAUCGGCAGGGAAGAAGCAAGACGGUAUCUGACUAAGAAGCCCCGGCUAACUACGUGCCAGCAGCCGCGGUAAUACGUAUGGUGCAAGCGUUAUCCGGAUUUACUGGGUGUAAAGGGAGCGCAGGCGGCACGGCAAGCCUGAUGUGAAAGCCCGCGGCCCAACCGCGGGACUGCAUUGGGAACUACCGGGCUGGAGUGCCGGAGAGGUAGGCGGAAUUCCUAGUGUAGCGGUGAAAUGCGUAGAUAGUAGGAGGAACACCAGUGGCGAAGGCGGCCUACUGGACGGUGACUGACGCUGAGGCUCGAAAGCGUGGGGAGCAAACAGGAUUAGAUACCCUAGUAGUC
RNAcentral lists this ribosomal RNA (441 nucleotides) under uncultured bacterium. RNAcentral's name for it is "partial 16S ribosomal RNA". It matches the Rfam family "Bacterial small subunit ribosomal RNA", at positions 338 to 795 of the family's 1533-position model. The record is from RNAcentral.